CGAAACCUGCCCAGCAGAACGACCCGCGAACACGUGAUGCCCCGGUUACGCCGGACGGGGAUCGUCUCCCCGCCCGGACAAAACGAACCCCCGGCGCGAUCCGCGCCAAGGAAAACGAAAAAAAACGGAUCGAGCGCCCGCGCUCCCCGAAAUCUUAA
RNAcentral lists this ribosomal RNA (158 nucleotides) under Corydalis cashmeriana. Lineage: Eukaryota; Viridiplantae; Streptophyta; Magnoliopsida; Ranunculales; Papaveraceae. The record is from RNAcentral.